UUAGGUCGUAUCAUCGGGAAGCCCAUCUUCAUGUAUGAUGAUGUUGACUCGGAUCCACUCUGCGUUGACCUCGCGAGAAAGAGACAUGGGGGGUCUAUUCUACUGUCAUUAAUGUACCCCGUGAAGCGUACACCGUGUCGUUACGUUCUUUGUUUUGUCUCUCGAGUAUACUAUCGUUACCCUGUAGCCUACACUAUAAAUAUCGUAACGGCACCGUGUACGCUUCACGGCGUCCGCGAACAAACCUCCUUCGUCUCUCUCGCUCGCUAGGCGAAGAGAGGGGCCGGCGUGCAUUCCCGGCCCGUUUCAGUAACCGUCGCGAGCCCUACCCACGCCGACCGACACCCCAUCAUCCGCCGUCCAAUCCCCUAGAGCGCUAAUGUCCACGCUCUUCCUCGCUCCUCCCUGAGGCGACUCGGUAGGAGUCCGAAUCGCCAAGGACCGACGUUCCUCCGUCGUCCGCGUCCCCCCGCCCGCGGAUCCACGUCGCGGGGCUUGGACCCUUGACGGUCUCCACGCGCGGGAGGGGGAUCGGGUGGAUCCCGUGGCGAUCCGACGGUCGGUGGUUGCGGCCUUCUGGUGUUGUAUCAUGGAAUAGAGGGGGGUCAAGCCGCGUGCGCUCGGGACAUGAAACCCCCAAGCGUAACGGCCGGCAGCCCCGACAGCCACUAUAGGAUGGCGGCGCAAUCGCAAUCACACUCGGAGUCGGAGGGGCUUCCUCGCUUAGGUUUCCUCAUGGAGGGGCCUGACCCAACCACCACCACUACCCCAUCCGCCGCCGGAACCCCGAUGCCGCCAAGCGGACCCUCGCGGAGGGAGAGAACUACCGUUCCUCCUCGAUCAUCCCCCCGCCGCCCUCCGCGGACACUGGCGCCGGGGAAGACCCUGUCGCACGGGUCGGUGUCACUACUGGGGAGGCGGAGGGACAUGGAGGACACGAUGACGGAGGUGACGGGCUUCUCGGCAGGUGGAUACGGGUAGUUCGCGGUGCACGACGGGCACGGGGGAGCGAUGGUGGCGCGGGCGUGCCGGGACCGGCUGCAGGUGGCUGUGACGGAGGGCCGCCCGGGUGGGUGAGGGGGAGGAGACGUGGAGGUGGGCGUGAAGGUGGACGCCGCGGCGAUGUUGGAGGUCGCGGAGCUGUAGCAGGGGUUGGUGGUGGGAGACAAAUGGAUCAUGGUGGCCACAUGCGGCGACUCCCGGACGGUGCUCUCACGCGGCGGGGUGGCCGUGCCCCCUUUCUAUCCAUCAAGCUCUCUAUCACAAAAAAAAGAACAUAUCAGCUGUGAAGAACACCACGCUAUGAUGUGAGUUGACAAAGUUAGGCCAGUAUCCGGGAUAUGCAUUGAACUCUGCAACAGCUGACGACGUCAAAUGUGGAUAGGAUGUCCACCCCCGAGUCUUUCUUCUAGAUUCGAAUAGCAGAUGCACAUGAUGAGGGUGGUUGCUUUGAUCCAACCAAUCAAAUGCCUUUUGUCGAGUUACUUGGAAAUUCCAGUGUCGGAGGUAACACAACAGAACAAGUAGGAAGUUUCCUUAAUAAUAUUGUUCAUCGAUAUCUACGUUUUCCACCACCAACAACAGCAACCCGAGCAACAAGAUAUCCAAAGUUAUCUGCUCUACAUGGAUCAGGAAAGCAGCAUCUCUCCGUGGUAGCUUCCCUGAUUUGUUUUUCUUCUCAGCUCAACAAAAAGGUAAUUUUGUACACAAAUCAACAGAGACGAUUGGUAAAGAACGAGUGACUCCUCAUAAGUGUCAUCACAUUUCUGCCAGAAAAGCUCCAAAUUUUUUCUCGUAGAUUCCAUUAAUAAGCUGUUGCUGGUUGAGACCCCAGGCGGACGCUAAAUGCAUCAUUAGCUGAUCCGGUGGUGGUGUCCCCUCCCAAUAUUCUGGUGGCUCUGAAA
Long non-coding RNA from Musa acuminata AAA Group (dessert banana), 1904 nucleotides. RefSeq lists it as uncharacterized. NCBI's taxonomy places the organism in Eukaryota, Viridiplantae, Streptophyta, Magnoliopsida, Zingiberales, Musaceae. The transcript has 2 exons. The record is from RefSeq and is a predicted model, not a curated record.